This 564-nucleotide long non-coding RNA is filed under the name Homo sapiens (human). Lineage: Eukaryota; Metazoa; Chordata; Mammalia; Primates; Hominidae. The record is from RNAcentral.
GCCCCGGCCUCGGCCCCGCCCCCGCCCCUGCCCCGGGGCAGCCUGUGCUGUUCCGUGUGCGCGGCGCAUACGCACCUGGGUUGUCUCGAGCCUGCGGUAGUGGCCAGAUCCCAGACAUCCGAGUAGAUCCCGUGAAAAGCUUCUUCUUGGUUUCUUCGUACAUUCUGGAUCCACCCCUUUCAUGCAUAUUCCAGACCACAUUUCCACUGGAGCAGUUGAAAUGAGAGAGAUGGGAAUGGGACUCACCCGAACCAGAGGAAUUUUUAUUACAGACCCAUUAACAGAGGUGUCAAAGUCACAGGAACAAGGAUGUGCACCUCAGAAACACAGAGGUCAGUGGAAAAUCAGUUUGCUUCUAUUUGUUUAAAAAAUGGGGGACUUAUGCAUAAAUCUAAGACCUUCUUGAAUCUAACAUUCUAAGACCUGUAUGCCACAGAAAGGAGGGUCUCAGAACGCCGGAGGAUAGUAUUUAAAUCUUAAAUAUCUAUAUUGUUCUCCACAGUUACUGGGUCACCACAUAGCAGGCAUUCAAUAAAAACGUGUUUGUUUACUAAGUAAUCUAGA